RNA transcript from Lotus japonicus, 1558 nucleotides. RefSeq lists it as uncharacterized. Lineage: Eukaryota; Viridiplantae; Streptophyta; Magnoliopsida; Fabales; Fabaceae. The transcript is spliced from 8 exons. The record is from RefSeq and is a predicted model, not a curated record.
GGACUAGUUCAUAAAAACAAAAUUCUGAAACCCUAGUCUUUCAGUUGCUCGAUUGUUCAUUGCUCACGCACGGCUUCACCACUUCCUUCACGCACGGCUUCACCUCUGUUCACCCAUUGUUCAAUUGCUCCCUCCACCAAACCACCAAGCAGAAGCAGGAUUUUUCAUACACUUGGAUGCAACGUUCAUAGCCCAGUGGCAUUUUUUAGCAAGGAAUUGCCAGCUAGUUGACGUGUUAUAAGGCUCCACAAAAUUUCUGGAUCUGUCUCCCGUCAACUCCACUUCUCCACCGCCAUCUCUCGCGCUGACGACCUCUCUCUUCCGCCGCUGACCGCGACUUUGAGAUUGGACUCCGUUACCUGUCGGAAGAAGCAGCUUUGCGAAAGAGGAAUGAGUGAAACCAGUGUUAAGGAAAAUCUAAAGAAAACCAGUGCUCCCCCAAUUGUUAAGUUGGACAAGGCAUUCAAGUUGGCUGAGGUAUGGGUUAACAAUAUGAGCAAAGCUGCAGAUGAUGAAACAACAGAUAUGGAUAUUGGGGUUCGACAUCCUAGGCUUGGUCUUGGGGCAAAAGUCUCACGCCAAUCCAAAGUUGAGGCUACAUCAAAUGACCCUGUUGAAAGAAAAUUGUUUGCCAAAUUGGAUGCUGCAAAAAGAAAAGCAUCCAAUAUUGCUAAAGAGUCUACUUCAGUUGCAUCAAAUAUUUUAGAUGAUGAUGAAGACGAUGAAGAUGCCGAAAGCAGAACAAGUGCAUUUGUCAAGAGGAAAGCAGUAGCUCCUCCGACCUCGUCUAUACCGGGAAAUAAAAAGCAGAAGUGACAUUUACUAGUAGGAGUUGUUUUUUACUGCAAGGCUGCUACCAGGUCAAGCCAGGCUUUCGGAAGGUUCAGGCCAGGCUCGAAAAAAAGCCUUUGAUAGGCCAUAGGCCAGUCUCAGGCCUUAAGAUUUUUAAACAGGCUAGGCCUAUUUAAGCAAAGCCUACCUAGGCCCGGCCUAUUCCCACCCCUAUACAGAGAGAAAUGUGGUCUUAUCCAAGAUGUGAUGUUCUUGAUGGCGGGUAAAAUUUGUGGUGUUGAUUGGUAAAUCAGGUUAUGGAAUCACUCCUCCAUGUAGGCAUGGAAACGAGGUGGGGCAGGGUUUUAGGAAGGCAGAGAUGAAAUUAUGAUACCUAACCCUAUCCUUGUUGGGUUCGAGGAAACCCGCGGGAACCCAGGACUUCGUUUUUUCAAAUCUUAUUAUUAGACUUGCCAAUAGCAUGCAAAAGCGGUGCAAUCACGGUGGUGCGGGGCGAAGCAGAGAUUUCCCGUGAAGGUGGCGCCUGCAGCGGUGCGAUCGCGGUUCUUGUAGCUGUUUUAGCGGGCCAAAAUCACAGUUGUCACAGAGCUAUUUUGUUGCUAUAGGGUUUCUGAUUUUUUAAGAGAGAAGAAGGUUCAAAAAGUCAAAAAUGCACUCACAAUUAGAACGUUGGGGCUAUUAGUUUAAGGGCAUUUUUUGUUUUUUGAUUCUAUUAGUUGGGAUUACUAUUGGUUUUUCAGAUCUAUUAGUUGGAGUAUUCUUGGUA